GUGCUUGCCUCCGCAGCACAUAGACUAAGAUUGGAACGGUAUAGAGAAGAUUAGCGUGGCCCCGUGACACGCAAAUUCGUGAAGCGUUCCGUAUUUCG
Molecule: small nuclear RNA, 98 nt
Filed under: Jaculus jaculus (lesser Egyptian jerboa)
Lineage: Eukaryota; Metazoa; Chordata; Mammalia; Rodentia; Dipodidae
Source: RNAcentral